RNAcentral lists this unclassified non-coding RNA (1161 nucleotides) under Hevea brasiliensis (rubber tree). Lineage: Eukaryota; Viridiplantae; Streptophyta; Magnoliopsida; Malpighiales; Euphorbiaceae. The record is from RNAcentral.
UAUAAGCUUGGUUUAAUGUAAUUGCUGAUUUUAGCGCAGAGAACGAAGAAUAUAUACAUUUUCAGAAGUCCACUACCCCAAUAUCAGCAAUUACAUUAAACCAAGCUUAUAGAAGAACUGCCCACAGGGACUUCUUAGAGGUCUAGUCACCGGUUUACAUAAUAUCUACAUAGCUACACUACCAAAAAGAAGAAAGAAAAGAAAACCUCUAUAGCUGGGACAGAGUAACUACUAUAGCCCACUACAUGAACGACAAUGAUAAACAAGCCAUGCAUAUGUUACAGAGUCUGUUAGCAUUGAGGUUGAGAGUAAAUCUCAGACGUCUCCACUUUCACUACUUGCAGACGGUCUUCAGUCUCUUUGCAGCCUGAACAAAUCCCACAAUGACCUGCAACUCAUCCAUUUGCUGGGACAUAAAAUGCCUCUGAACAACAUCUACUAGUUGCUCUUUAGAUGGGUUGGGGAUAGCAUCCACAAGAUUGAAGUGUCUCCAAUAUCUCCACAAGGCAGCCAUCUCCAAUUUGCUGAGGUCAACUUUCGUGGCCCCACGAGAUGUAGAAACAGAGCCCUUAGACUGCGAGUCGCAAGAGAGAGACCUGCUCAUAGUCUUGUGAGAUGACCCCGUUGAUUUAUGAGUCCUAUGCCUUGAUCUAUGGGACUUUUGGGUGUCAUCGGAUGCCAUAUCAGAUCCAUUCCACCGCACAUUAUCAAAUUCCAAGUCAUCAUCACCUUCAUUGCCAGUGGGAGCCUCAAUCACACUAAGGGCAUUCCUCUGUAGCUUUACUUCAAUGCCAUUUGUAAGAACCAGCCAAUGCCAACCGCCAAGCCCAACAGCCUUCUUGACCACCCCCUGAAGACCCACAAGCACCGACUUUGUCCUGUUAUUUCCAGUAACCACCACCUUAGUGUGACGAGGCAACACGGAGAGUUCUUCCUCGCUGCUGUCUCCACAGCUCUGCAAGUGCGAGAACCCUCCAUUGACCGAGCUCUCCAUAGCCUCAAGCAUUAUUUCUAUUCCAACUCAGUGAGUCAAGAAAAACUGAGUCAAAAUUAGAGUAUCAAAACUCGAAACUAGAAUUAAAAUGAAGAUCAUGCAUUGCUGAGCAAGUUUAUGGAAGUUUCGGGGACAAAAGGAAGAGAAAUUGAGGAGAAAUUUGGGAU